RNAcentral lists this long non-coding RNA (1483 nucleotides) under Sus scrofa (pig). RNAcentral describes it as "lncRNA (ENSSSCG00035036306.1)". The record is from RNAcentral. Lineage: Eukaryota; Metazoa; Chordata; Mammalia; Artiodactyla; Suidae.
AGAGCGGGUUAUAGGAUCUGCGUACGCAGUGUACAAGCAGAAGAUGCAGAGCGGGUUAUAGGAUCUGCGUACGCAGUGUACAAGCAGAAGAUGCAGAGCGGGUUAUAGGAUCUGCGUACGCAGUGUACAAGCAGAAGAUGCAGAGCGGGUUAUAGGAUCUGCGUACGCAGUGUACAAGCAGAAGAUGCAGAGCGGGUUAUAGGAUCUGCGUACGCAGUGUACAAGCAGAAGAUGCAGAGCGGGUUAUAGGAUCUGCGUACGCAGUGUACAAGCAGAAGAUGCAGAGCGGGUUAUAGGAUCUGCGUACGCAGUGUACAAGCAGAAGAUGCAGAGCGGGUUAUAGGAUCUGCGUACGCAGUGUACAAGCAGAAGAUGCAGAGCGGGUUAUAGGAUCUGCGUACGCAGUGUACAAGCAGAAGAUGCAGAGCGGGUUAUAGGAUCUGCGUACGCGGUGUACAAGCAGAAGAUGCAGAGCGGGUUAUAGGAUCUGCGUACGCAGCGUACAAGCAGAAGAUGCAGAGCGGGUUAUAGGAUCUGCUUACGCGGCUGUACAAGCAGAAGAUGCAGGGCGGGUUAUAGGAUCUGCUUACGCAGUGUACAAGCAGAAGAUGGAGAGCGGGUUAUAGGAUCUGCUUACACAGUGUACAAGCAGAAGAUGCAGAGCGGUUUAUAGGAUCUGCGUACGCGGUGUACAAGCAGAAGAUGCAGAGCAGGUUAUAGGAUCUGCUUACGCAGUGUACAAGCAGAAGAUGCAGAGCGGUUUAUAGGAUCUGCGUACGCGGUGUACAAGCAGAAGAUACAGAGCGGGUUAUAGGAUCUGCUUACGCAGCGUACAAGCAGAAGAUGCAGAGCGGGUUAUAGGAUCUGCUUACGCGGUGUACAAGCAGAAGAUGCAGAGCGUGUUAUAGGAUCUGCGUACGCGGUGUACAAGCAGAAGAUACAGAGCGGGUUAUAGGAUCUGCUUACGCAGCGUACAAUCAGAAGAUGCAGAGCGGCUUAUAGGAUCUGCGUACGCGGUGUACAAGCAGAAGAUGCAGAGCAGGUUAUAGGAUCUGCUUACGCAGUGUACAAGCAGAAGAUGCAGGGCGGGUUAUAGGAUCUGCUUACGCAGUGUACAAGCAGAAGAUGCAGAGCAGGUUAUAGGAUCUGCUUACGCAGUGUACAAGCAGAAGAUGCAGAGCAGGUUAUAGGAUCUGCUUACGCAGUGUACAAGCAGAAGAUGGAGAGCGGGUUAUAGGAUCUGCGUACGCGGUGUACAAGCAGAAGAUGCAGAGCAGAAGGAUUGUUCUUCCGUCCUUGUUUGUUUGUACCAGAAUUCUCUAUUGUUUGCAUACAUUUUAGCCUCUGUGCCAUUUUCAGAAGCUUUAUUUUUCUCACUUACUUUUUGGUUUGGAUAAGACUUAAAUAUAAAAUCCAUCUGUGAAGCAUAUUGUAUACUCUCAUUGGAGGCUAAAACCCAUUUUUAAUUAAAACUUUAUCCAGC